GCUCGAGUGGUGGAAUGGCAUACACGCACGACUCAAAAUCGUGUGGUCUCACGACCUUGUGGGUUCAAGUCCCACCUCGAGCA
This 83-nucleotide transfer RNA is filed under the name bacterium. RNAcentral describes it as "tRNA-Leu". It matches the Rfam family "tRNA". From Rfam's summary of the family: Transfer RNA (tRNA) molecules are approximately 80 nucleotides in length. Their secondary structure includes four short double-helical elements and three loops (D, anti-codon, and T loops). The record is from RNAcentral.